GAUCUUGUUGCUCAGUGGAUAGAGCACUUGCCUAACAUGUAAGGCACUGGGUUCAAUUCUCUGCACCACA
RNAcentral lists this transfer RNA (70 nucleotides) under Marmota monax (woodchuck). RNAcentral's name for it is "tRNA.Val". The record is from RNAcentral. Lineage: Eukaryota; Metazoa; Chordata; Mammalia; Rodentia; Sciuridae.